CAGACUGCGGAUAAUAAAAUGGCAUAACUACGCAAAGAAAGAAACUGAAGAAUUGGAUUGUUAAUGCAAGAGAACACAAGACAAAAUCAUUAAAUCAAGCAUAAUGAACUUUCUGAGAAAUAUAUUGUCAGUCUGACAGUGCUGCAUCUAUAAAGGAGCUCUGUUAUUAUUAUUUUUUUUCUUUCCUUCUUUCUUUUUUUCUUCAAGACCAUUUCGCCAAUCUUUCAAGUGCCAAGUCACAGUCCACCAGCUCCUCUUGCAAACCCAUUUCUCAGCUAUUUUUGUAAACAAAAACGAAAAGCUAUGGAAGGCAAAAGCUGUUCAAGUAGCAAAAGUCAUG
RNAcentral lists this unclassified non-coding RNA (340 nucleotides) under Hevea brasiliensis (rubber tree). Lineage: Eukaryota; Viridiplantae; Streptophyta; Magnoliopsida; Malpighiales; Euphorbiaceae. The record is from RNAcentral.